Xyrauchen texanus (razorback sucker) is the source of this 3786-nucleotide long non-coding RNA. RefSeq lists it as uncharacterized. The record is from RefSeq and is a predicted model, not a curated record. Lineage: Eukaryota; Metazoa; Chordata; Actinopteri; Cypriniformes; Catostomidae. The transcript is spliced from 3 exons.
UUCGCAGAGCGCCCGUGCUGUUUAGUCCGGGUGGUGGAGUUCUCCCAUCAUUUUAGUCCAACUUCACCAGCAAGAAAUGCAGUAUUUUCUUUUUAUACUUAACAUUUGUUGGGCGAAUUCUCUCUGAUAGCUUGCACUUCUUGUUUUGCCUUGGAUCAACAUCAACGGAAUCUUUUCCUGGGCGAGAGCACAAUUGCAGCCAGGUACGCACAACGCUUCGGCCUUACAGAAAUCCCCAGAAGGUUCGUUUAGCCGCUUGGUGUGCAAAAACCACCACAAUGAUCAUCAGGCUUGGCAGACUGACUCCUGGAUACUUCCGUCUCCUGCAGAGGCAGGUAGCGGGUGAGGUGCAAGCCCCAACGCACGACCGCUCGGUCAACCAAAUUGCCAUGAUGCUGGCCAUCAUGGGCCUUGGCAUGUCCUACUACAGUGCCAAGCAGAUGACGGAGAAGGUGCACCAAGAGCCUGCCCCAUGAAGAUGCUCCUGAGCUCCGGUUUGUUGGUAUCCGGGAAGACAAAGCCAAAUUGGAGUUGAAGAUGGAAUUGGAGUUCUGAAGAUUAUCAUGUGCAAUCUCUGUCACACUUCACCCUUUCUAUAACUGUAACACUGGGAUUGCAGGGAUCACAUACCAUGGGAAGCAAGUUUGGGGCUUCUGUUUAGGGUUAUCUUGCUUUUAGUGUGGCACUCAAUGGGGUCUGGAGAUGGUUGAAUGAUUCUUUGUUUGGGUUUGUUGGCUUCUACAGGUGUGGCCUGAGCCUCGAUAGUUGCCAUGGUACAUGCACCAGAGUUUGUCAAUUCUGCUGUAGAUUCACAGGGAACAAUAAAGUCUCCACCAGUGCAUAGGAUGCACAACUUGGAGAAUUACAAUGAGCCAUAAUGUAAAUUUUAAAGGGAAGGACCUCUGCGUUUGAGAUGUACCAAGCAACUAUUGAAAGCAGGCCCACUGCACAGUGUAGGACGGCGAGAUACUGGUUGUAUUUGAGAUUUACAUUGUGUAGAUGUCAUGCUGUUGAAGAACCCUAGCGACUCUUAGUCCUACAAUACUACACUUGUCGAUUAUCUUCGUGUUAGACACUUAAGAAAUGCUGUCAAGACAUUGCAAUACUAUGCUGAGGAACUAAUGUUAAAGGGACAGUUUCUUGUCAUUAUAACUUGAGAAAAUGUCUUCAUCUUUUAUGUUUGUCCUGACAAAUGCUGAUAACCCAUCAAUACCCAUUAGACGUUAAUGCCUACUUUCUAUGUGUGCAAUUGCAUGAGUUUGACGUUAUUUUUAAGUGAAACCAAUCCAUAACAUUGUGUUUAAUCCUUCUUUUUUAUGGUAAUGUGAAAUUGAUGAUUAAUGUAUUUUGUAUUUAUAAGAAACUAUAUGAUCAAAUAAAGCUGUGAAUAUUUUGAACGAGAUCAAUGUUAUGGACUAAGUCUACAGAAGGUUAAAGAACAUUUAGAAGAAUUUUAUGUUAUGAAAUCUGUUAGAUUCUGAAAAAAUUGCUCUCGGAAAUUGCUGAUAAAAUGUCACUCCUGCUGAGUUAUUGAUGGACAUCUGAGGUCUACACUGAAACCGUAUGAAAGGCUUUUCUGUCCACAGAAGUGCGCUGUCGAACAGGAAGUGGGCAUAGCCUCAGGCAACAAUUUCCUCUGUCAGCACAUGAUAUUUGUCUACUAGCUGCCUGUUGCUCCUGGCUUGAUGCCUGAACUAUUGAACAAUCUGAAAAUGAAAACUUUGUGUACCGUUUAACUUAAGGUAUGUUUUCCCCUCUGAAAAGCUCAAAAUCUACUUAAGGAUGCACAAGUAUGUGACCGCUGAUUUUUGUAGCUACACAAGUUCGUGCAAAAACAUGUGCAAUUCAUAUCGCAAAGCCAGUUGGUGUUGCAUUGCCACUAGGUGUCGCUCAAGUGUGCGCUGGCUUAAAGCCGUUGCUUCUAGCUACGCAAGUUUGAUUCAACACAUUGUGUGCCGAAAUGUGUCGGACCGUACAAUUCAUAAUGCAACGCCAGCACGUGUUGCAUUCUCAACUUUGCUACAAAUAAUGCUAAGGCAGGCAUAAGUGUAAACACCGAUGCUUAUAGCUACACAAGCUCGAUUGGGCACAUCGGUGCAUGCCGAAAUGUGUCAAAUUAAUAUUUGUAAUGCAACAGAAAUACUUUUAACUUCUCAGUGUUGUUGAUUUAAGGAUUACUAUUGCUUCUAAAACCAAUUUUCUCUUUCUAGUCCACUAUCAUGGCAGAGCAACUGUUUAUAAAGGAAUCUUCCUGAGCGUGUUUAUAGCUAGCUAAAUUAAUAAUAAAAUAUAUCACUCCCUUGACAAAUUAGGUGUGCUAUUCUCAUAACUCUAAAUGCACAUAAACUGCAAGGUUAUUCAAUCGUUUGUGUAUUUGCCUAGAUUUUCUGGCCCUAUGUUACGGUUUUAUCUACUUGUUUCCGGCUCUCUAUAUAUGUUUUGCAUGUUAUAAAUGUAACGUUGCAAUUUAGCAGAGAGUAGAUGUGCUAGUAGCAAGUAGAACAGUUCUGCAUAGCGGAACUUAUUAUUGAAUCAGAAGCGUUUUAAAACAAAUCUUGAGGCGUUUGAAGGACAUUGAUAAGUUGGAAAUAUCAUAUGGGAUGCAUGCUUGCAUGCUUGUUUGCUAUAUAGUGCUGUUUGCUAUAGUGUUUUGGAAGAAGUUGGUUGGUUGAUUUAUGAAUGCCAAAGCAUGGUUAUACAUUAUUAGAGGUUGAAAUGCUAUCUCUGAUCCCAGCUUAAUAUACAGACACCACAAAGUAAGCCAGUCGUAAGAUGAUUCCCAUGAAAAGUAUAAGUUCUGUUUCUUUAUUGACCAAUGGCAGAUGGGGGCGUGUUCAGGAAAUCUGCUUAAAAAAACAGUCAUUAUUUUUACUAGAGGUGCAAAAAUUACUCCCUUCAAUCUUUUGGAUAUUGUAGUCUAUCUGUAUUUUGUUUUAGAAAACAGACUGAGAUCAGUUGAUUAGUUGAUCAACUGAUGAGUCUGCACUAUGUAUAUGGUUUGUUUCCAACUCUUUCACCCUUUUUUCCCAUUACCAUGCAAGUUAAGAGGGAGAUGCAGUUGAUGCGCCAAUGCUGUUAGGGCGGGGAAGCGGAUGUGCUCUUAAUCUCUGCACGAAUGCUCGGGGCAGAUGUGAUGCCCUGUGACAGGCCAAGACCACAUUGCAUGACACGUGCUAUUCCGCAUAUCACCUUAAGCUCCCCCCCCUCUCCGCUUUGCUCUAUGAUCACUGGGCAAAUUUGGCAAAAAAAAUAAAUACCACUGGGGCAGUUUUGACAUGCAAGCUUAGGACAUGAACCCAAACACUGUUGUCCCAUUGGCUGUCCGGUGAUGCAUCAUGAUGUUGUUCCAGUUUCGAGCCACAGAGACAAAGAGAUUGGGAUCACAUGAUUGGCGUGACAUAAUGCACAUGAAUGCCUUUUUAUAAAGAAGGGAUGGAACUUAAAAUUAGACUUAAUAUAAGUCAACAGUGGCCUUUACUGUUUGACAGCACAUUGAUGAUGGUCUAUGGAUGUAAAAUUAGAGGGAUCCUCAAUUUUAUUAAAAGUUUUUGUUUUUAUAUAAUGAACAACACAUUGAGAUAUGUAAACGUUGUAAAACUGAAGUCGUCUACAUCAGUGUAUCCUAUUAUGUAAGAAAACUUCAUAUACUGUAUAAAGGACUUUGAAGUUUGACUGAAAUGUGAUUUGUACCUCCAGAAGUUUCCCUGAUGCACUCUGUGGGUCUGUAGUGCUCAUGUAGGAACUUCAUUGAUUUGUUAUUCAUGUAAUGCUGCUACUUAUGCAUAA